UACGGAGGGUGCAAACGUUGCUCGGAAUCAUUGGGCGUAAAGCGCACGUAGGCGGACUGUUAAGUCGGACGUGAAAUCCCUCAGCUUAACUGAGGAAGUGCAUUCGAAACUGGCAGUCUUGAGUACGGGAGAGGGUCGCGGAAUUCCCGGUGUAGAGGUGAAAUUCGUAGAUAUCGGGAGGAACACCAGUGGCGAAGGCGGCGGCCUGGACCGAUACUGACGCUGAGGUGCGAAAGCGUGGGGAGCGAACAGG
RNAcentral lists this ribosomal RNA (253 nucleotides) under uncultured bacterium. Its description in RNAcentral is "partial 16S ribosomal RNA". It matches the Rfam family "Bacterial small subunit ribosomal RNA", at positions 524 to 776 of the family's 1533-position model. The record is from RNAcentral.